This 468-nucleotide ribosomal RNA is filed under the name uncultured bacterium. RNAcentral describes it as "partial 16S ribosomal RNA". It matches the Rfam family "Bacterial small subunit ribosomal RNA", at positions 28 to 507 of the family's 1533-position model. The record is from RNAcentral.
GACGAACGCUGGCGGCGUGCUUAACACGUGCAAGUCGAACGGAAAGGCCCUGCUUUUGUGGGGUGCUCGAGUGGCGAACGGGUGAGUAACACGUGAGUAACCUGCCCUUGACUUUGGGAUAACUUCAGGAAACUGGGGCUAAUACCGGAUAGGAGCUCCUGCUGCAUGGUGGGGGUUGGAAAGUUUCGGCGGUUGGGGAUGGACUCGCGGCUUAUCAGCUUGUUGGUGGGGUAGUGGCUUACCAAGGCUUUGACGGGUAGCCGGCCUGAGAGGGUGACCGGCCACAUUGGGACUGAGAUACGGCCCAGACGCCUACGGGAGGCAGCAGUGGGGAAUAUUGCACAAUGGGCGGAAGCCUGAUGCAGCAACGCCGCGUGCGGGAUGACGGCCUUCGGGUUGUAAACCGCUUUCGCCUGUGACGAAGCGUGAGUGACGGUAAUGGGUAAAGAAGCACCGGCUAACUACGUG